UUGAACUGUUUGCAGCAAAGUUCAUUGCAAAAUCAUCCCCUCGGGGUCGACCCCUCCCCUCCUCCCUCGUUGCAUUUGUGUAACGUUGCCCGGAACAUUCCUCCGUGUUGCUGUACUUUUCCCCCUCCUGCCUAGUUGUUUUUCUUGGGACAACGUGACCUUUGCACUUGUUCCUGCCGGAGGACAUAUGUUUUCAUCGGGCGUGCCGGCUUUUGCAUUUAAUUCUCUCUCACGCAGACAAGAGGGAUUAAAAAGCCAUCGGCCGCCGGGGAAUUGGAUUAUGGUGUGUUGCUAAUGAUGAAGUUCCACGCGACAAACGGGGGAGCCUCGUAAACAUCAAUCAACGCUCGAAAAGCUGGGCCAUCUGGUGAAGUGGAAUUACAUUAUCCAUGCACAUAUACGCUCCUCCUGCUUCUCCCAUCUUGGCGCCGUGCUCAAGCUGACAGCAAGGAUCUGCUGAAGGAUAUACGAGGCUGAGGGGGAUUAAGGUGAACCCCAAGCUGGCUCCUGUCCAAAGUAUUCUUUGCCAAGGGUAAAAGUGGAAACCUUCUGCAAAUGAAGAAGACACUCCAUAAACGUAGCAGACAGUCAGCUCCAUUCAUCACUGGAGGGGCUCACAGGGCCCCUGGGUGCCCCCUGGCAAGUUCAAACCAGCAAUCCCCUCACUGGUGGAGCACAAAGAAGGUGACCCCGAGCUACAGCAAGGAGAAGGGUAAUAAUAAUAAUCAUCAUCAUCCCUCUGGGUGUAUCCAAGCGCUUGGAUGGAGAUGGCAAGGGCGGGCGACGGCAUUAAAGGCGUCCUCUUUUUGCCGAAUGGAUUUCUUUCAGCAUUUUAAAACAUCUGUGCGUGUGUGUGUGUGUGUGUGUGUGUGAGUGGAGUAUAGAAUGUCUGAGAUCAUCACUGUUGCAGGACAAUGAUUAGCACGUUUGUUGUCACCUACAAACAUUGGGUUCUCACGCUGUAGGUGUCAGUAGUCCAAAGUUUAUGGCUUGGCUGACAUUUCCAGAGCCAGUCAGUCCGUGUAAAAAGUUUGAGACCCCCUUUCUAACUUCAAUGGAGCAAGCUGAUUUGUGAUUUCAGGACGAACUAAAAUGGAAUGUUUUUUUUUUCCUGCAUUUGCUUUGUUGAUGCUGGCAUUUUCCAA
Molecule: long non-coding RNA, 1145 nt
Organism: Syngnathus typhle (broad-nosed pipefish)
Lineage: Eukaryota; Metazoa; Chordata; Actinopteri; Syngnathiformes; Syngnathidae
Exons: 5
Source: RefSeq, a predicted model, not a curated record